This 897-nucleotide ribosomal RNA is filed under the name uncultured organism. RNAcentral describes it as "SSU rRNA". It matches the Rfam family "Bacterial small subunit ribosomal RNA", at positions 25 to 921 of the family's 1533-position model. The record is from RNAcentral.
CAGAUUGAACGCUGCCGGCAUGCUUUACACAUGCAAGUCGAACGGUAACAGGGAGCUUGCUCCGCUGACGAGUGGCGAACGGGUGAGUAAUAUAUCGGAACGUACCCAAGAGUGGGGGAUAACGUAGCGAAAGUUACGCUAAUACCGCAUACGAUCCAAGGAUGAAAGCAGGGGACCUUCGGGCCUUGUGCUCCUGGAGCGGCCGAUAUCUGAUUAGCUAGUUGGUGAGGUAAAGGCUCACCAAGGCGACGAUCAGUAGCUGGUCUGAGAGGACGACCAGCCACACUGGAACUGAGACACGGUCCAGACUCCUACGGGAGGCAGCAGUGGGGAAUUUUGGACAAUGGGCGCAAGCCUGAUCCAGCAAUGCCGCGUGAGUGAAGAAGGCCUUCGGGUUGUAAAGCUCUUUUGUCAGGGAAGAAACGGCUGUGGCUAAUAUCCACGGCUAAUGACGGUACCUGAAGAAUAAGCACCGGCUAACUACGUGCCAGCAGCCGCGGUAAUACGUAGGGUGCAAGCGUUAAUCGGAAUUACUGGGCGUAAAGCGUGCGCAGGCGGUUUUGUAAGUCUGUCGUGAAAUCCCCGGGCUCAACCUGGGAAUUGCGAUGGAGACUGCAAGGCUAGAAUCUGGCAGAGGGGGGUAGAAUUCCACGUGUAGCAGUGAAAUGCGUAGAGAUGUGGAGGAACACCGAUGGCGAAGGCAGCCCCCUGGGUCAAGAUUGACGCUCAUGCACGAAAGCGUGGGGAGCAAACAGGAUUAGAUACCCUGGUAGUCCACGCCCUAAACGAUGUCUACUAGUUGUCGGGUUUUAAUUAACUUGGUAACGCAGCUAACGCGUGAAGUAGACCGCCUGGGGAGUACGGUCGCAAGAUUAACUUAAAGGAAUGACGAAGGCG